RNAcentral lists this ribosomal RNA (253 nucleotides) under uncultured bacterium. RNAcentral describes it as "partial 16S ribosomal RNA". It matches the Rfam family "Bacterial small subunit ribosomal RNA", at positions 524 to 776 of the family's 1533-position model. The record is from RNAcentral.
CACGUAGGGCGCAAGCGUUGUCCGGAAUUAUUGGGCGUAAAGAGCUCGUAGGCGGUCUGUUGCGUCCGCUGUGAAAACCCGGGGCUUAACCCCUGGCUUGCAGUGGAUACGGACAGACUAGAGGUAGGUAGGGGAGAAUGGAAUUCCCGGUGUAGCGGUGAAAUGCGUAGAGAUGCGGAGGAACACCGAUGGCGAAGGCAGCCGGCUGGGGUAGCACUGACGCUCAGGCGCGAAAGCGUGGGGAGCGAACAGG